UGGGGAAUUUUGGACAAUGGGGGCAACCCUGAUCCAGCAAUGCCGCGUGAGUGAAGAAGGCCUUCGGGUUGUAAAGCUCUUUUGUCAGGGAAGAAACAGCAGCUCUAACACAGUCUGCGAAUGACGGUACCUGAAGAAUAAGCACCGGCUAACUACGUGCCAGCAGCCGCGGUAAUACAGAGGGGGCAAGCGUUAUUCGGAAUUAUUGGGCGUAAAGGGCGCGUAGGCGGUUUUUUAAGUCAGAUGUGCAAUCCCCGAGCUCAACUUGGGAACUGCAUCUGAGACUGGAAGGCUAGAGUACUGGAGAGGGUGGUGGAAUUCCUCGUGUAGCAGUGAAAUGCGUAGAGAUGUGGAGGAAUACCAAUGGCGAAGGCAGCCCCCUGGACUAAUACUGACGCUCAUGCACGAAAGCGUGGGGAGCAAACAGG
Molecule: ribosomal RNA, 428 nt
Filed under: uncultured bacterium
Lineage: Bacteria
Description: bacterial SSU rRNA
Rfam family: Bacterial small subunit ribosomal RNA
Source: RNAcentral